GUAAUACGAAUGUCUAAUUUCCAUUUCGUACGUGUUUUAAAAACUUUCUUAUCUUCGUACGUGCAGUGCACAUUAACUUGUCCGAAGAAAUUGUCGCUAAAUAUAGUUGGACCAAUCCGUGCAAAUUUCUACCUUGUUUCAAGUGCAGUGGUGAAAAAAUCAAUUGUCUCCCGUAACCAGCGCUAUUUUACUCUGUAACAGAUACUUGAAUCCUGGUUGACCUGAAGGAAUAUCACAGAACAAUGCAAAAACGUCGAAAAUACGGAUAGUAUCGAGAACUGGAGUUUCUUUAACAAGAACUGUUGGCCGCUGGUAGAUUUACUUAACUUAGCUAAAUUACCAUGCUACCGACAUAGCGCGAAUAAGUUAGUGGGGAGCUGUUCGGGGAGGUAUGAUAAAAUUGUAAAUUUGCUAUUUAUUACAACAGAUUCUGAGAGGUCAAUAUCGAAAGAUCUUUCGUUACCGUGCAGUUCUACCAAUCACGAUGCUUGCCUGCUGGGAGAAUAGAGAGCGAGGGAAAUUCAAUAAUUCAGAUUAGCAGACGAACGGACGCAAGCUGCAUCACAAGGAAUAGAGAGUUAGAGGCCUUCGCUACGGGACAAUUGCAUGAUGUUUCGCAAAAUAUUCCAGUGUCUAUUACUAGUUUUGCUGGCCCACUUGGAAGCGGGUGAAAUCCGAGGACUGUCGCCGUAUUUCUUCAAACGUGCACCGAAAAAUCUCAAGGAAAAAGUAUUUCACUGGUCUUCAGUUUAUCAAGAUGAUGCAUGGUGUUCUGAGGUUUGUGAUGCGAAAAUCUGUCGCAUGAUUGAGAAGAACGGAAGAUUUGACAGAAGUUAUAAAGACUGUAAUUGUGGACUGCACUGUCACUGCCUGUACACUGAAUUCAAUGAUUAUCAUAAGACAUACGUCUAUAGAUGUAUGCCAGCAUUCUGAGUCAUGCAAAUUUUGCAGUGUAAAUGUUAUUUGUCAUUCUGUCCGGCGUUUUACACGUUCUGUUGCUGUCUCUGUGUGUAAAAACACAUUUACUAGAGUGCGUUUCCCACGAGAAACGUUAGCUAAGUUUUAACUGCACAAGAAAGAGCUUUCGAGUGGUAUCAUUGUCAGUCAUUCUAUAGACGUCAACACUACUUGAUUGUCGUUUGUUCCUCAACCAAGUGUUUCUAACUGUGUAACGAAAUUUUUUCAAUGUCAAUUUUUCGGUUUUUAAAAAUUCGAUUUCAUUAGCCCCUGAGCAGACUCCUAUUAUUAGAGCUGCCGGAUGCGCGUUUCUUCUCCCGCGGGAAGAAUGGAGACGAGUUGGAGAUAGGUUUACUGGGGGUCUGGCACUAGUAAUGAUUGCUGGACCCCUUUACAGACCUCUCACGGGCUCGUGUUCCUCAAGGUCUUAUACUUUCCCGCGGGCGAAGAAACGCUCGUGUUUAAGCGCCAUAAAUGAAGGCUUGCUCGCAAGCUAAAUCUCUCCAAAAAAAUUCAUGUAGGAAUAGGUUUAGUCGACAAAAACCAACAUGUUGGUGUAUAGCUGAAGUUCAGUUUUAACUUUCGUAAUAUCUAGUUAGGAAAAUAAAAAUUUGGGAAUCUUUUGGGACA
Long non-coding RNA from Pocillopora damicornis (cauliflower coral), 1587 nucleotides. Lineage: Eukaryota; Metazoa; Cnidaria; Anthozoa; Scleractinia; Pocilloporidae. The record is from RefSeq and is a predicted model, not a curated record.